Molecule: ribosomal RNA, 440 nt
Filed under: uncultured bacterium
Lineage: Bacteria
Description: partial 16S ribosomal RNA
Rfam family: Bacterial small subunit ribosomal RNA
Source: RNAcentral
CCUACGGGGGGCUGCAGUGGGGAAUAUUGCACAAUGGGGGAAACCCUGAUGCAGCGACGCCGCGUGAGUGAAGAAGUACUUCGUUAUGUAAAGCUCUAUCAGCAGGGAAGAAAAUGACGGUACCUGAGUAAGAUGCCCCGGCGAACUACGUGACAGCAGCCGCGGUAAUACGUAGGGGGCCAGCGUUAUCCGGAUUUACUGGGUGUAAAGGGAGCGUAGACGGGAGAGCAAGCCUGGUGUGAAAGUGGGGGGUUCAACCCCCGGAUUGCCCUGGAAACUGUACGGCUGGAGUGCAGGAGAGGUAAGUGGAAUUCGUAGUGUAGCGGUGAAAUGCGUAGAUAUUAGGAAGAACACCAGUGGCGAAGGCAGCUUACUAGACUGUAACUGACGUUGAGGCUCGAAAGCGUGGGUAGCAAACAGGAUUAGAUACCCGAGUAGUC